GUAAAAAUAAACUAAUAUAAGUUGUUUGGUUCAUGCCCAGAAUAUAGGGGUUUCCCCUUUUUUACA
Molecule: transfer RNA, 66 nt
Filed under: Paratapes undulatus (undulate venus clam)
Lineage: Eukaryota; Metazoa; Mollusca; Bivalvia; Venerida; Veneridae
Description: tRNA-Met
Source: RNAcentral